GCAUUGAUGGUUCAGUGGUAGAAUUCUCACCUCACAUGUGAGAGACCUGGGUUUGAUGCCUGGCCAAUGCA
Molecule: transfer RNA, 71 nt
Organism: Loxodonta africana (African savanna elephant)
Lineage: Eukaryota; Metazoa; Chordata; Mammalia; Proboscidea; Elephantidae
Rfam family: tRNA
About the family: Transfer RNA (tRNA) molecules are approximately 80 nucleotides in length.
Source: Rfam